This 497-nucleotide ribosomal RNA is filed under the name uncultured bacterium. RNAcentral's name for it is "partial 16S ribosomal RNA". It matches the Rfam family "Bacterial small subunit ribosomal RNA", at positions 28 to 507 of the family's 1533-position model. The record is from RNAcentral.
GACGAACGCUGGCGGCGUGCCUAAUACAUGCAAGUAGAACGCUGAAGCGAGGAGCUUACUCUUCUUGGAUGAGUUGCGAACGGGUGAGUAACGCGUAGGUAACCUGCCUUGUAGCGGGGGAUAACUAUUGGAAACGAUAGCUAAUACCGCAUAACAAUGGAUGACACAUGUCCUUUAUUUGAAAGGGGCAAUUGCUCCACUACAAGAUGGGCCUGCGUUGUAUUAGCUAGUAGGUGAGGUAAUGGCUCACCUAGGCGACGAUACAUAGCCGACCUGAGAGGGGGAUCGGCCACACUGGGACUGAGACACGGCCCAGACUCCUACGGGAGGCAGCAGUAGGGAAUCUUCGGCAAUGGGGGCAACCCUGACCGAGCAACGCCGCGGGAGGGAAGAAGGUUUUCGGAUCGUAAAGCUCUGUUGUAAGUCAAGAACGGGUGUGAGAGUGGAAAGUUCACACUGUGACGGCAGCUUACCAGAAAGGGACGGCUAACUACGUG